RNAcentral lists this ribosomal RNA (490 nucleotides) under uncultured bacterium. Its description in RNAcentral is "partial 16S ribosomal RNA". It matches the Rfam family "Bacterial small subunit ribosomal RNA", at positions 28 to 507 of the family's 1533-position model. The record is from RNAcentral.
GAUGAACGCUAGCUACAGGCUUAACACAUGCAAGUCGCGGGGCAGCAUGGGGGUUGCUUGCAAUCCCCGAUGGCGACCGGCGCACGGGUGAGUAACGCGUAUCCAACCUGCCCUUCACCACGGGAUAACCCGGCGAAAGUCGGACUAAUACCGUAUGUUGUCCAUUGACGGCAUCCGAUUUGGACGAAAAGCUUGGCGGUGAGGGAGGGGGAUGCGUCCGAUUAGCCAGACGGCGGGGGAACGGGCCACCGUGGCUACGAUCGGUAGGGGUUCUGAGAGGAAGGUCCCCCACACUGGAACUGAGACACGGUCCAGACUCCUACGGGAGGCAGCAGUGAGGAAUAUUGGUCAAUGGGCGUAAGCCUGAACCAGCCAAGUAGCGUGCAGGAUGACGGCCCUAUGGGUUGUAAACUGCUUUUAUGCGGGGAUAAAGUGGCCCACGUGUGGGCUUUUGCAGGUACCGCAUGAAUAAGGACCGGCUAAUUCCGUG